UACGACGGGUACGGGUUGUGAGAGCAAGAGCCCGGAGAUGGAUUCUGAGACACGAAUCCAGGCCCUACGGGGUGCAGCAGGCGCGAAAACUUUACAAUGCUGGCAACAGCGAUAAGGGAACCUCGAGUGCCAGGUUACAAAUCUGGCUGUCGAGAUGCCUAAAAAGCAUUUCAUAGCAAGGGCCGGGCAAGACCGGUGCCAGCCGCCGCGGUAACACCGGCGGCUCGAGUGGUAACCGUUAUUAUUGGGUCUAAAGGGUCUGUAGCCGGCCGGAUAAGUCUCUUGAGAAAUCUGGCAGCUUAACUGUCAGGCUUUCAGGAGAUACUGUCUGGCUCGAGGCCGGGAGAGGUGAGAGGUACUUCAGGGGUAGGGGUGAAAUCUUGUAAUCCUUGAAGGACCACCAGUGGCGAAGGCGUCUCACCAGAACGGACCUGACGGCAAGGGACGAAAGCUAGGGGCACGAACCGGAUUAGAUACCCGGGUAGUCCUAACCGUAAACGAUACUCGCUAGGUGUCGGCCACGGUGCGACCGUUGUCGGUGCCGUAGGGAAGCCG
Molecule: ribosomal RNA, 555 nt
Filed under: uncultured archaeon
Lineage: Archaea
Description: bacterial SSU rRNA
Rfam family: Archaeal small subunit ribosomal RNA
Source: RNAcentral